RNAcentral lists this ribosomal RNA (253 nucleotides) under uncultured bacterium. RNAcentral's name for it is "partial 16S ribosomal RNA". It matches the Rfam family "Bacterial small subunit ribosomal RNA", at positions 524 to 776 of the family's 1533-position model. The record is from RNAcentral.
UACGUAUGGUGCAAGCGUUAUCCGGAUUUACUGGGCGUAAAGGGAGCGCAGGCGGCGCGCCAAGUCUGAUGUGAAACCCCGGGGCUCAACCCCGGGCAUGCAUUGGAAACUGGCGGGCUGGAGUGCCGGAGAGGUAAGCGGAAUUCCUAGUGUAGCGGUGAAAUGCGUAGAUAUUAGGAGGAACACCAGUGGCGAAGGCGGCUUACUGGACGGCAACUGACGCUGAGGCUCGAAAGCGAGGGGAGCAAACAGG